CCUACGGGGGGCUGCAGUGAGGAAUAUUGGUCAAUGGCCGGAAGGCUGAACCAACCAAGCCGCGUGAAGGACGAAGGUGCCAAGCAUUGUAAACUUCUUUUGUCAAGGGACAAAAUCAGGCUCGAGAGCCUGACCGAGGGGACGUGAAGAAAAAGCAUCGGCAAACUCCGUUCCGGCAGCCGCGGUAAGACGGAGGAUGCGAGCGUUAUCCGGAUUUAUGGGGGUUAAGGGGUGCGUAGGCGGGCUGUUAUGUCAGCGGUAAAAGCCCGGGGCUCAACCCCGGCGCGCCGUUGAAACUGGCUGUCUUGAGAUGUCGAGAGGUAUGCGGAAUGCGCAGUGUAGCGGUGAAAUGCUUAGAUAUUGCGCAGAACUCCGAUUGCGAAGGCAGCAUACCGGCGGCGAUCUGACGCUGAGGCACGAAAGCGUGGGUAUCGAACAGGAUUAGAUACCCUGGUAGUC
This 459-nucleotide ribosomal RNA is filed under the name uncultured bacterium. RNAcentral's name for it is "partial 16S ribosomal RNA". It matches the Rfam family "Bacterial small subunit ribosomal RNA", at positions 338 to 795 of the family's 1533-position model. The record is from RNAcentral.